CGACCGAGCCAUUUCCCAGGGUCCAGCAGAUCGUAGCUGGGGUGAACUACUUCUUGGACGUGGAGCUGGGCCGAACCACGUGUACCAAGACCCAGCCCAACUUGGACAACUGCCCCUUCCAUGACCAGCCACAUCUGAAAAGGAAAGCAUUCUGCUCUUUCCAGAUCUACGCUGUGCCUUGGCAGGGCACAAUGACCUUGUCGAAAUCCACCUGUCAGGAUGCCUAGGGGUCUGUACCGGGCUGGCCUGUGCCUAUCACCUCUUACGCACACCUCCCACCGCCUGUAUUCCCACCCCUGGACUGGUGGCCCCAGCCUUGGGGAAGGUCUCCCCAUGUGCCUGCACCAGGAGACAGACAGAGAAGGCAGCAGGCGGCCUUUGUUGCUCAGCAAGGGGCUCUGCCCUCCCUCCUUCCUUCUUGCUUCUCAUAGCCCCGGUGUGCGGUGCAUACACCCCCACCUCCUGCAAUAAAACAGUAGCAUCGGCUCCC
This 490-nucleotide long non-coding RNA is filed under the name Pan troglodytes (chimpanzee). Its description in RNAcentral is "long non-coding RNA NONPTRT009181". The record is from RNAcentral. Lineage: Eukaryota; Metazoa; Chordata; Mammalia; Primates; Hominidae.